Molecule: ribosomal RNA, 433 nt
Filed under: uncultured bacterium
Lineage: Bacteria
Description: partial 16S ribosomal RNA
Rfam family: Bacterial small subunit ribosomal RNA
Source: RNAcentral
AGCGAACGCUGGCGGCAGGCCUAACACAUGCAAGUCGAACGAACUCUUCGGAGUUAGUGGCGGACGGGUGAGUAACACGUGGGAACGUGCCUUUAGGUUCGGAAUAACUCAGGGAAACUUGAGCUAAUACCGGAUGUGCCCUUCGGGGGAAAGAUUUAUCGCCUUUAGAGCGGCCCGCGUCUGAUUAGCUAGUUGGUGAGGUAAAGGCUCACCAAGGCGACGAUCAGUAGCUGGUCUGAGAGGAUGAUCAGCCACAUUGGGACUGAGGCACGGCCCAAACUCCUACGGGAGGCAGCAGUGGGGAAUCUUGCGCAAUGGGCGAAAGCCUGACGCAGCCAUGCCGCGUGAAUGAUGAAGGUCUUAGGAUUGUAAAAUUCUUUCACCGGGGACGAUAAUGACGGUACCCGGAGAAGAAGCCCCGGCUAACUUCGUG